UUCUUUCACUGGAACCAGUGAAGUAAACUGAAAAAAGGUUAACAGGAGAAAAGGAAUACAAAUUUUAUUUGAUAUUACUAUUAUAAUUUGUAUGUGCACAGAGGCCUUCGUAAAAAUGAAGUGAAGACCCAGAGAAGUGGUUGAGUGUGGGGGCUUACAUACUAUUUUAACAAAGGAUGAUAAAUUGUCUCACAAGACAAAGGAAAAGGGAUUUGGGCUUCCAGAGGCGGUAAAUUGUGGGAAGGUAAGUGUAUGGGAGACUCAUGGAAGAGAAGGUUUGUGUAAGAGGGUUUAGUUUCUGUAUCCUCACCUUCCCCCUCUCCCGCCCUGAGAAGUGUUGUUCUUCCCUUUCAGCUAAGAGAGGAGGGGGCAGCUUCGCAAGGGAAGGGAAGGUUUUAGGCAGAUGGAGGAUGGGCAGAGAGCUCUUCCUGUGUCUGAUUCUUUUCAAUUGCCAUCAGUGCAAAAUAAUCCUUAUGCCAAAGUAGCAUAUUUGGGGGUGGCAUAUUCUGAUCCCUUUCUGUGUUUGGUAGAAUUUGGUUGUGCUAGAGACAGGUCGUUACCGUCUCCAGCAUCCAUCCUCUCCCUCUUACAGUGGGUGCAUGGCUGCCUGGACUAAAGACAGCAUCUUGCAGUCUCUUUGCAGCAAGGGGCAGCCAUGUGUAAAAGUAGGCUGGCUUCCUGAGGGCUUCUGGGCGCAGACACACCAGCUCUAGACUGCGGACCUGGGCUCUUCUGAGAUGGAGGGAGAACCUUCUAUCUCGUUCAUGCUGUUGUAAUUUUGGUGUUUUGUUUCUUACUUGCAGGCAAACCUAAUCGUAACAGCUCCUGGACUUGGAUUUUGCUUGCAAAGGAUGUUCCUUUACGUUCCUAAAGGACCUCAUGGUUUACAACCAGAGCCAAUUUGGAUUGAACCGUUUUUCUCUAUUGGUGACUUCUGGAUUCACACAACAUUUUAUUCAGUUCUGCAGCCACUCGGCUUUGAUUGCGCAGUCAGUAAUCUGCCUUCAAUUUUCUUCUGUCAGUAAACUACCUCUCUGGAACAACUGCCUGGCAAACAAAUUGGGUCACAAUAUGCUUAUCUGUAAAGCUGACAGCACAUUGCAUCCUCCAUGCCACGUUACACAGAUCAACCGUGUCAGAGCCCCAAUGUUAUCAUGUGACUGUUGUUCUUACUUCUUAAUUUAGCAAGAAAUGGCUUAAUUUCCCAUGAGUGAGUUUAACCCUUGAGUGAAACUUUGCCACAUUUAAAAAUGAGGCAAAGUGCAGUGGCAGAAAGGCAGAUUGUUCGUUCACCACUGUUCUCUCCUGAAAUAUUUAGCAGAACCAUUUAACGCCAAGCAGUCUAGGAAAUUUUUUCACACCUCCCUGACAGCUCAUGGGCUCUGACUGACUUCCUCACAGAGCACUCACUGAAUAAAUAGCAUUUUAACCAGUCCAGUGCUGAUGGGGAGGAAGACUGGAACCUGUGAAUAUCUCUUUUGUUUUUUGGAAGUGCCGCUGUAAGGGCAAGAGUCCAUGCUCUGCCUUCAAUCUAAAAUAACCCAUUGAAAUGUUAAUCUUUAAAUUGAGAAUAUAUAUCACUUAUCAUGAUGUUUUCUUCUGGGUUCAACCACAUGGACUUCCCCUCCCCAAAGCCGACCUGGCUGAGUGCCUGCCUUGGCAACAGCAGAGACAGUCACUGAACCUUCAAUAGAGCAUCAUUCGCCUGCGGACCAGCCGGCCACUUGGUGGCUAGACUAUUACAUUGGACCUCUUCCAGCAUGGAGUGGGAAGAGAUUUGUCUUCUUUGGAUUAGUUCUGUCCACCCCUUCGGCUGGCUGCCUAGCUGGUCUUGGCCGCAAGUGGUGCCCAAUGUGGGGCACGAAGGAAGAGCCGCCAAAGAGCGACGGUGGAGUUUCAGCGGUGCGGAAGCUGGAAGCGGUGUGAGGCCUCAAAAGAUUCCCCGUGUCGACACAUCGUACAUCAAUUCCAACCUGGGGACAAAUAAAUAAAUUGGCUCAACAAGCAGAGAAGGUGUUUGAACAAGAAAAGAAACCCGUCACUCCAAAUAACUUGGCUCUGGCGAUGUUCGCCCUGGUGUUGGUGGCCUCCUCAGAUACACGAGAAAAACCUUCUGAGACCUGACUAAGAGAGAAGCUGCCCGGAUCGCCUACCUCCUCUUACAAAAACAAAAAGGGGGAAAUGCUGCAGGAGAUUAUAGCAGCAUUCUUGCUAGGCUUUAAGCCUAAGGAAAAAGAAAUUCCAAAUGGGUGACUGGGGGGGUAUGUGAUCUGCUGAUCCUCAUAAUCAUUAUACCAGAUUGCUUGUGCUUUGGACUCUCAGGCCAGAGGGGAAUAUGUUAUUGGGAAUGAAGGCAAGGGACUUAGGAACGCCUGGCCCUUGCAGGAACAGAACGCUGCCUGCAUACCUUGCUGAUUGUCCUUAAGAUACUCCCCAAGGGAAUGACCUGGGAUGGUCUGGUGUGCUUCAGGGGAUGAAGAAUAGAACCUUUGGACUCUGGCCUGCGUGUCCCUGCAGGCAUGAGUUUCUGCUAUUGUGAUUGCUUGUGAUUCUUUACCCGAAAAUAAAUAUGUGGCGAACCGAGGGACCUCACCUCAGUCCUUGAGGCUGAUGGUCCCCUGUCCCAUUGAAUAAUA
This is a non-coding RNA of Equus caballus (horse), 2636 nucleotides long. NCBI's taxonomy places the organism in Eukaryota, Metazoa, Chordata, Mammalia, Perissodactyla, Equidae. The record is from RefSeq and is a predicted model, not a curated record.